This 165-nucleotide ribosomal RNA is filed under the name Vibrio cholerae. RNAcentral describes it as "partial 23S ribosomal RNA". It matches the Rfam family "Bacterial large subunit ribosomal RNA", at positions 2748 to 2907 of the family's 2925-position model. The record is from RNAcentral. Lineage: Bacteria; Pseudomonadati; Pseudomonadota; Gammaproteobacteria; Vibrionales; Vibrionaceae.
GCUAAGUUCGGAAUUGAUAAGCGCUGAAAGCAUCUAAGCGCGAAGCGAGCCCUGAGAUGAGUCUUCCCUGACAGUUUAACUGUCCUAAAGGGUUGUUCGAGACUAGAACGUUGAUAGGCAGGGUGUGUAAGCGUUGUGAGGCGUUGAGCUAACCUGUACUAAUUG